Choloepus didactylus (southern two-toed sloth) is the source of this 391-nucleotide long non-coding RNA. RefSeq lists it as uncharacterized. The record is from RefSeq and is a predicted model, not a curated record. The transcript has 3 exons. NCBI's taxonomy places the organism in Eukaryota, Metazoa, Chordata, Mammalia, Pilosa, Megalonychidae.
CUAACCAUGCUGGCCCAGGAACUACACUUUAAGAAACACUCUUAAGAACUUCAAAGUUCUUGAGAAGUAGCCCAGAACUAAGAAAUGUUGAGAUGCAGGAUGAUAUAAGAGACUGAUACCAGAGAAGCCAACUCCCUGAUUUCACAGAAAGAAGUUCAUCAAUGGAGAAUCUUCCUCCAAAUUGAAGGAAAUAUACGAGACAUAUUUCCCUAUACCUCAAACUACCCCAAACUCACACUACAUACGCUCAGGGUAUAAUGAAAAAUAUGCUGAAAAUGCUGAAACUUCCCCAAGAAUAGCUAUGAAUACAACUAAAAAAAGAAGAAAUAAAAGAUUUUUUUUUCCCACUCAAAUCUGUAGCAUCAAACAUCAGAGAAAAAAUUUUUCCAGA